Molecule: ribosomal RNA, 476 nt
Filed under: uncultured anaerobic ammonium-oxidizing bacterium
Lineage: Bacteria
Description: bacterial SSU rRNA
Rfam family: Bacterial small subunit ribosomal RNA
Source: RNAcentral
UUCGCAAUGCCCGAAAGGGUGACGAUGCGACGCCGCGUGAGCGAAGAAGGCCCUAGGGUUGUAAAGCUCUGUCGAGGGUUAUGAAAUAUAGAUGGGUUAAUACCCCAUUUAUUUGACAAAAGCCCAAAAGGAAGCCACGGCUAACUCUGUGCCAGCAGCCGCGGUAAUACAGAGGUGGCGAGCGUUGUUCGGUAUUAUUGGGCGUAAAGAGCACGUAGGUGGUUUUGUAAGUCAGGUGUGAAAGCCUUCUGUUCAAAGGAAGAACGGCAUCUGAAACUGCAGAUCUUGAGCGUAGGAGGGGAGAGUGGAACUUCUGGUGGGGCGGUGAAAUGCGUAGAUAUCAGAAGGAACGUCGGCGGCGAAAGCGACUCUCUGGCCUAUUACUGACACUGAGGUGCGAAAGUUAGGGGAGCAAACGGGAUUAGAUACCCCGGUAGUCCUAACCGUAAACGAUGGGCACUAAGUAGAGGGGUUUU